RNAcentral lists this ribosomal RNA (497 nucleotides) under uncultured bacterium. RNAcentral describes it as "partial 16S ribosomal RNA". It matches the Rfam family "Bacterial small subunit ribosomal RNA", at positions 28 to 507 of the family's 1533-position model. The record is from RNAcentral.
GAUGAACGCUGGCGGCGUGCCUAAUACAUGCAAGUCGAGCGAACAGACGAGGAGCUUGCUCCUCUGACGUUAGCGGCGGACGGGUGAGUAACACGUGGAUAACCUACCUAUAAGACUGGGAUAACUUCGGGAAACCGGAGCUAAUACCGGAUAAUAUAUUGAACCGCAUGGUUCAAUAGUGAAAGACGGUUUUGCUGUCACUUAUAGAUGGAUCCGCGCCGCAUUAGCUAGUUGGUAAGGUAACGGCUUACCAAGGCAACGAUGCGUAGCCGACCUGAGAGGGGGGUCGGCCACACGGGAAGUGAGACACGGUCCAGACUCCUACGGGAGGCAGCAGAAGGGAAUCUUCCGCAAUGGGCGAAAGCCUGACGGAGCAACGCCGCGUGAGUGAUGAAGGUCUUCGGAUCGUAAAACUCUGUUAUUAGGGAAGAACAAAUGUGUAAGUAACUAUGCACGUCUUGACGGUACCUAAUCAGAAAGCCACGGCUAACUACGUG